GACGAACGCUGGCGGCGUGCUUAACACAUGCAAGUCGAACGGAAAGGCCCUGCUUUUGUGGGGUGCUCGAGUGGCGAACGGGUGAGUAACACGUGAGUAACCUGCCCUUGACUUUGGGAUAACUUCAGGAAACUGGGGCUAAUACCGGAUAGGAGCUCCUGCUGCAUGGUGGGGGUUGGAAAGUUUCGGCGGUUGGGGAUGGACUCGCGGCUUAUCAGCUUGUUGGUGGGGUAGUGGCUUACCAAGGCUUUGACGGGUAGCCGGCCUGAGAGGGUGACCGGCCACAUGGGGACUGAGGUACGGCCCAGACUCCUACGGGAGGCAGCAGUGGGGAAUAUUGCACAAUGGCGGAAGCCUGAUGCAGCAACGCCGCGUGCGGGAUGACGGCCUUCGGGUUGUAAACCGCUUUCGCCUGUGACGAAGCGUGAGUGACGGUAAUGGGUAAAGAAGCACCGGCUAACUACGUG
This 467-nucleotide ribosomal RNA is filed under the name uncultured bacterium. RNAcentral describes it as "partial 16S ribosomal RNA". It matches the Rfam family "Bacterial small subunit ribosomal RNA", at positions 28 to 507 of the family's 1533-position model. The record is from RNAcentral.